CCUACGGGAGGCAGCAGUGGGGGAUAUUGGACAAUGGGGGAAACCCUGAUCCAGCGACGCCGCGUGAGUGAAGAAGUAUUUCGGUAUGUAAAGCUCCAUCAGCAGGGAAGAAAGAAAUGACGGUACCUGAGUAAGAAGCCUCGGCUAACUACGUGCCAGCAGGCUCGGGAAUACGUCGGGGGCAAGCGUUAUCCGGAAUUACUGGGUGUAAAGGGAGCGUAGGGGGUAAUGCAAGUCUGGAGGGAAAGGCGGGGGGCCAAACCCCGGACUGCCGUGGAAACUGUGUAACUGGAGUGCAGGAGAGGCAGGCGGAAUGCCUAGUGUAGCGGUGAAAUGCAUAGAUAUCAGGAAGAACACCAGUGGCGAAGGCAGCCUGCUGGACUGUAACUGACGUUGAGGCACGAAAGCGUGGGGAGCGAACAGGAUUAGAUACCCUAGUAGUC
Molecule: ribosomal RNA, 443 nt
Filed under: uncultured bacterium
Lineage: Bacteria
Description: partial 16S ribosomal RNA
Rfam family: Bacterial small subunit ribosomal RNA
Source: RNAcentral